CCGAGAUAACACAGAAAUCUUUGGCCAGUGUCUUUCGUUUUAAAUAAUGUUUUUGUUCUGAUGUGUUACUCGCUUAUUUAGCUGCUGCUGAUAUGUUUAGAUCGUGUUUUUUUUUAUUUUAGCAACGUCAAUUUGUUACCUGUUACCGUUGGAAGGGAGGAAAGGAAGGGAUACAAUGAUAAAGGUCAAGAAAGGAUGAAGCUGACCAAUUUGAGUGCCGAACAAGAAA
Molecule: long non-coding RNA, 229 nt
Organism: Mobula hypostoma (lesser devil ray)
Lineage: Eukaryota; Metazoa; Chordata; Chondrichthyes; Myliobatiformes; Myliobatidae
Exons: 3
Source: RefSeq, a predicted model, not a curated record